UUAAUCCAUUCUAAUGCGCACAACAAACUAGUGCUUAAGCCUCCACCGAGAGUAGACAAGCCGGCGUUUAGCCUUUAGAACACGAUCUAAAAAAGUCUUUCACUAAAAGACACCAACCAAUCAUAGUUCCCCGAACUACGAACGCUCUGAUUUCCUUAUUACACCAUAAGGAUACGUAGGCAGGAGAUUGCUGUAUCUUCGCGAGCACACUAAUAAAAAACCUCCCCUUUCCCUUUAUG
Molecule: long non-coding RNA, 239 nt
Filed under: Lathyrus oleraceus (garden pea)
Lineage: Eukaryota; Viridiplantae; Streptophyta; Magnoliopsida; Fabales; Fabaceae
Description: Pisum sativum (pea) long non-coding RNA (PSAT_LNC013191)
Source: RNAcentral